UACGUAGGGGGCGAGCGUUAUCCGGAUUCAUUGGGCGUAAAGCGCGCGUAGGCGGCCGCCUAAGCGGAACCUCUAACCCCGGGGCUCAACCUCGGGCCGGGUUCCGGACUGGGCGGCUCGAGUGCGGUAGAGGAGAGCGGAACUCCAUGUGUAGCGGUGAAAUGCGUAGAUAUAUGGAAGAACACCAGUGGCGAAAGCGGCUCUCUGGUCUGUAACUGACGCUGAGGUUCGAAAGCGUGGGUAGCAAACAGG
Molecule: ribosomal RNA, 252 nt
Filed under: uncultured bacterium
Lineage: Bacteria
Description: partial 16S ribosomal RNA
Rfam family: Bacterial small subunit ribosomal RNA
Source: RNAcentral